GACUCGAUAGAAUCAAACUCUAGAUUUUAGGGGACUUCAGCACACCAUUUUCAUCCAUACAGUGCUUGCUUCACAGCCUACUCAAAUACAGCUUCUCUGUUUGUACAACAACCAAUCUUAAAGAUGAAUUUCCUAGUGCUACUCUACAAAGACAUAUCGACAAGAAGAUGUGAAUCGCCAGUUCUGUAAAUAGCUUUUCAUUAUAGAGUACAUUUUUUUUUCAAAUGAGAAAAAUCAUUACAUUUUUUAGAUUCUCGCCGUUCUUCCUACACAAUCAAUGCCUCUCUCUUCUUUACUUUUUUCCUCCUAAAUGUUUGGUACUUAGCUUUGAC
This 332-nucleotide unclassified non-coding RNA is filed under the name Hevea brasiliensis (rubber tree). Lineage: Eukaryota; Viridiplantae; Streptophyta; Magnoliopsida; Malpighiales; Euphorbiaceae. The record is from RNAcentral.